Molecule: long non-coding RNA, 1183 nt
Organism: Pelobates fuscus (common spadefoot toad)
Lineage: Eukaryota; Metazoa; Chordata; Amphibia; Anura; Pelobatidae
Exons: 2
Source: RefSeq, a predicted model, not a curated record
AUGGGAAGACGUCUUUAUAAGAUAUUGAUCAGUUAUUUAUUAGCCUGGAGGUUACUAUGGGGGCCCUGAUGAAUAAAGCGUUCAUCCACACCUUUCCUUUUAUAUCAAUACAAGUGGAUACCUAGUGAUUUAUUCACACUGAGUGUGUUGUCAAUAUGCUAUUUAGUGAAUAAACCUCUUACAAUAAGACGUGUUCUUUUAGUUACCCAGUGCCAUAGACUCAUCAGAAUCUUAACAAGACUAGUAAUAGAUGUUUCACCCUGUGAUACAAACUGCAACUGUAUGUAAUAUUAUCUUUACCCGACCAAUCAAUGGAAUUCUAUUAAAUGGAAAAAUAAACCCAAUCUCAUGUUGAUUUAUGUCCAUUGUAGAAUAUGAUGGUUAUUACAAGGGGUCAAUGCUUUACCCAGCUACCCUUAGCAAUACGUUGGUAGUAGGUACAUGGCCAUUUACCUGGUUCCCCUGACUUAGAUUUAUUCCGUGAGAGUGGAGUAAGUGUUGCAGUGAGUUUCUCUUGGACACAUGGAUUUAUCAUCUAAAGGUUCGCCAGAAAACAGAAUCUUAACUUACCUUGUGAGAAGUCGGUGUAUGUCCUAAACCUUGGCAUGGUUGUUGGCUAUCGAAAAUCUGGUUAACCGCUUCUUUGCCUUUAACAGAUGACAAAGGUAAACUUUUCCAAGUCUGGAAGAAUUAUUAGAAGUUUUGGUAAACUCCCAAAGGAUUUCCAAUGUCCCUUUAAUUAUUCCUAAAAUCAACUCCAGUCUAUUAACCGUGUGUAUAAGUCCUGUGUCAGAAGAUAAGUCAUUGCCUUGCACAUCUGUUGUUUAGAACUUUGGAUAUAUGUUUUGCCAACAGCCAAUAUUUCAUAUCAUGGUAUUUAAUUCGAAAACCAAAAGUACUUGGCAUUCUGCAGAGAAUACAGCUUUAUUGGGUCUGUUUAAAUCAUCUUUCACAUACUGUGUAACACUUAACCAACUUUUUUAAAGGUCUCUUUCCUGGCUAAAAAAAAACUACAUAUAUUAAUGUUUUCUUUCCCAAAUUAUAAUACUUUUAACGCCUUCAAAUUGUUUAAUUUUCCAUGUUUCAAUGAUGUUAAAAAAAUUUAAAAUGUACUGGUUUUCGUGUAUGUUUUACAUUUCCCAAUAACUUCUUUAAAUGAAAAAUAUUGUAUCAAUCAGUCUAA